Molecule: small nucleolar RNA, 107 nt
Filed under: Nicotiana sylvestris (wood tobacco)
Lineage: Eukaryota; Viridiplantae; Streptophyta; Magnoliopsida; Solanales; Solanaceae
Description: Plant small nucleolar RNA R71
Rfam family: Plant small nucleolar RNA R71
About the family: R71 is a member of the C/D box family of snoRNAs containing the C (UGAUGA) and D (CUGA) box motifs. Multiple nearly identical copies of this snoRNA have been identified in Arabidopsis, and it is thought to function as a 2'-O-ribose methylation guide for 18S ribosomal RNA.
Source: Rfam by way of RNAcentral
AUUUCACUAUGUUGACACUUUCUAAAAAUCUCCUUAAACCUCUCCCAAGCUUCAAACACAAUUUUAGUCUCGUUCUGGCAGAAGUUAUGGAUUUCUAUUCUAAAGUU